GAAGCAGCAGGCGCGCAAAUUACCCACUCCCGGCACGGGGAGGUAGUGACGAAAAAUAACGAUACGGGACUCAUCCGAGGCCCCGUAAUCGGAAUGAGAACACUUUAAACCCUUUAACGAGUAUCCAUUGGAGGGCAAGUCUGGUGCCAGCAGCCGCGGUAAUUCCAGCUCCAAUAGCGUAUAUUAAAGUUGUUGCGGUUAAAAAGCUCGUAGUUGGACUUGUGUCCCACGCUGUCGGUUCACCGUUCGUCGGUGUUUAACUGGCAUGCCGUGCGGACGUCCUGCCGGUGGAUGCGGUCGGCCGUGGGCCUCUGGUCUGCGCGUCGGCGGUCCGAUGAAAUCCUACCGCGGUGCUCUUCACCGAGUGUCGAGGUGGGCCGGCACGUUUACUUUGAACAAAUUAGAGUGCUCAAAGCAGGCAGUGGUUCGCCUGAAUAUUGUGUGCAUGGAAUAAUGGAAUAGGACCUCGGUUCUAUUUUGUUGGUUUUCGGAACUUGAGGAAAUGAUUAAUAGGGACAGACGGGGGCAUUCGUAUUGCGACGUUAGAGGUGAAAUUCUUGGAUCGUCGCAAGACGAACAUAAGCGAAAGCAUUUGCCAUGAGUGUUUUCAUUAGUCAAGAACGAAAGUUAGAGGUUCGAAGGCGAUCAGAUACCGCCCUAGUUCUAACCAUAAACGAUGCCAGCUAGCGAUCCGCCGAAGUUCCUCCGAUGACUCGGCGGGCAGCUUCCGGGAAACCAAAGCUUUUGGGUUCCGGGGGAAGUAUGGUUGCAAAGCUGAAACUUAAAGGAAUUGACGGAAGGGCACCACCAGGAGUGGAGCCUGCGGCUUAAUUUGACUCAACACGGGAAACCUCACCAGGCCCGGACACCGGAAGGAUUGACAGAUUGAGAGCUCUUUCUUGAUUCGGUGGGUGGUGGUGCAUGGCCGUUCUUAGUUGGUGGAGCGAUUUGUCUGGUUAUUC
RNAcentral lists this ribosomal RNA (962 nucleotides) under Asprenas brunneri. RNAcentral describes it as "SSU rRNA". It matches the Rfam family "Eukaryotic small subunit ribosomal RNA", at positions 422 to 1325 of the family's 1831-position model. Lineage: Eukaryota; Metazoa; Arthropoda; Insecta; Phasmatodea; Phasmatidae. The record is from RNAcentral.